GACAGUGUGUCCGAGUGGUUAAGGAAGUGGACUCGAAAUCCACUAGGUUAUGCCUGCGCAGGUUCGAAUCCUGCCGCUGUCG
Perkinsus marinus ATCC 50983 is the source of this 82-nucleotide non-coding RNA. The record is from Rfam. Lineage: Eukaryota; Perkinsozoa; Perkinsida; Perkinsidae.